GUGGGGAAUAUUGGACAAUAGGCGAAAGCCUGAUCCAGCCAUGCCGCGUGAGUGAUGAAGGCCUUAGGGUUGUAAAGCUCUUUCAGUAGGGAAGAUAAUGACGGUACCUACAGAAGAAGCCCCGGCUAACUUCGUGCCAGCAGCCGCGGUAAUACGAAGGGGGCUAGCGUUGUUCGGAUUUACUGGGCGUAAAGCGCACGUAGGCGGAUUGGUCAGUUAGAGGUGAAAUCCUGGAGCUCAACUCCAGAACUGCCUUUAAUACUGCCAGUCUAGAGUCCAGAAGAGGUGAGUGGAACUCCUAGUGUAGAGGUGGAAUUCGUAGAUAUUAGGAAGAACACCAGUGGCGAAGGCGGCUCACUGGUCUGGUACUGACGCUGAGGUGCGAAAGCGUGGGGAGCAAACAGGAUUAGAUACCCCAGUAGUCC
This 425-nucleotide ribosomal RNA is filed under the name uncultured bacterium. RNAcentral's name for it is "bacterial SSU rRNA". It matches the Rfam family "Bacterial small subunit ribosomal RNA", at positions 354 to 796 of the family's 1533-position model. The record is from RNAcentral.